Molecule: ribosomal RNA, 424 nt
Filed under: Culex cylindricus
Lineage: Eukaryota; Metazoa; Arthropoda; Insecta; Diptera; Culicidae
Description: eukaryotic LSU rRNA
Rfam family: 5.8S ribosomal RNA (bases 1-129)
Source: RNAcentral
GCUCGUGGAUCGAUGAAGACCGCAGCUAAAUGCGCGUCAGAAUGUGAACUGCAGGACACAUGAACACCGACAAGUUGAACGCAUAUUGCACAUCGUACAACAGUACGAUGUACACAUUUUUGAGUGCCUAUAUUUAUCCAUUCAACUGUGCCCGCUCGGUCCGCCCGGGUGGGUACGCAUCAUGGUGUUUUGCUGCCUUCGGUGGCUUGGUAAAACACUUAAGACUCUCCAGUCCCAAAGGAGACACGACGGACGACCCCUGCGGUCGCCGGCCCCUUGGACGCGAGAUACAUCCCACGCAUUCACCAACCUGGCUUGGGCGCGAUGUACAUCUCGAUAAGCGUCCGGCUCGGUGGCAGCAGCGUCCACAUCCAUAUGAUAUGUAGGCCUCAAAUAAUGUGUGACUACCCCCUAAAUUUAAGCA